GACGAACGCUGGCGGCGUGCUUAACACAUGCAAGUCGAACGGAAAGGCCCUGCUCUUGUGGGGUGCUCGAGUGGCGAACGGGUGAGUAACACGUGAGUAACCUGCCCUUGACUUUGUGAUAACUUCAGGAAACUGGGGCUAAUACCGGAUAGGAGCUCCUGCUGCAUGGUGGGGGUUGGAAAGUUUCGGCGGUUGGGGCUGGACUCGCGGCUUACCAGCUGGUUUGUGGGGUAGUGGCUUACCAGGGCUUUGACGGGUAGCCGGCCUGAGAGGGUGACCGGGCACAUUGGGACUGAGAUACGGCCCAGACGCGUACGGGAGGCAGCAGGGGAGAAUAUGGCACAAUGGGCGGACGCCUGAUGCAGCAGCGCCGCGUGCGGGAUGACGGCCUACGGGGUGUAAACCGCUUUCGCAGGAGACGAAGCGGGAGUGACGGUAAUGGGUAAGGAAGCACCGGCUAACUACGUG
Molecule: ribosomal RNA, 468 nt
Filed under: uncultured bacterium
Lineage: Bacteria
Description: partial 16S ribosomal RNA
Rfam family: Bacterial small subunit ribosomal RNA
Source: RNAcentral